AGCAAAAGCUAGCCAAAGAACCAUUUUACUGGUUGAAGUUGAACUGUUUUUUAAAGUAGAAUGCAGUUGAUUUGCGACGAUGACACAAACAUUAAGCAGGACAUCCAAUUAUAAUUCAAAAGUAGUGUGACUGUUGUUUUUUUGCUGGCGUUCUAUGAGAACUCCAGAUGUAUCUACCCAGAGACCACCAAAUAAAAUCCUGAUUAGAUAUUCUCUCUUCAGUAUUAACCCCUCUCUUUCCAACAAACUGAAGACAUGAAAUCAGAAGAUUACAAUUAUUGUAAAGAUGAAAUAGAAAUUAAAAAACGAAAAUUCAUUUUUUUUUUUUAAUACCUUUUUAUAAAUCCUUCUCUGAAGGCCCUCACAGUUCCCCACUGAUACGUUUCAAUAUUCUAUAGUUAAUAGUGGGAAAACAAUAAGUAAACCAUAAUCAUUUAGGUUAAGGGCACUUAUGGCACAAAAUGUGAUACAGGCUACAAUCUUUAGAUUACAUUACUUUAGAUGAUCAGUUGACUAAUAUCUAAAUUCAAUAUAAAUUUAGAACAAAUUUACAAAUUGCUAAAUAUUGGCAGAGAGGUGUGUAGGAAACCCUGUUCCUGGAGUGCUGCAGGUAAACCAGGGGUAGGAAACCCUGUUCCUGGAGUGCUGCAGGUAAACCAGGGGUAGGAACCCUGUUCCUGGAGUGCUGCAGGUAAACCAGGGGUAGGAAACCCUGUUCCUGGAGUGCUGCAGGUAAACCAGGGGUAGGAAACCCUGUUCCUGGAGUGCUGCAGGUAAACCAGGGGUAGGAAACCCUGUUCCUGGAGUGCUGCAGGAUUUUGUUCCAACUAGGCACCACACCAGACCAACUGAGCUGAUUGAUCAGUUCAGUGACUAAAUUCAAAACACACCUGGUCUUCCAGGUCGGUUAAAUAAAAAACAUGAAGCGCUUGCGGCACUCCCGGGACCAGGGUUGCCCAAGUCCAGGGGUGUAUUCAUGCCGCCAAUUCUGUUGC
Coregonus clupeaformis (lake whitefish) is the source of this 995-nucleotide long non-coding RNA. RefSeq lists it as uncharacterized. The transcript is spliced from 2 exons. Lineage: Eukaryota; Metazoa; Chordata; Actinopteri; Salmoniformes; Salmonidae. The record is from RefSeq and is a predicted model, not a curated record.